RNAcentral lists this long non-coding RNA (868 nucleotides) under Homo sapiens (human). RNAcentral describes it as "HSALNT0170410". Lineage: Eukaryota; Metazoa; Chordata; Mammalia; Primates; Hominidae. The record is from RNAcentral.
CCAAAGCAGGCCCUGGAAUUAUCGAAAAAAAGACACCAGACCCUGGGAAGCCACUCUCAGAGGCCUGGCUGACACCAUCCCCUGGAGCUCUUCUAUAAGAAAGGUGUGAGGGAGGGCAUCAGAUUGCCAACCUCUCACCCUCUGGAGAUGGCACCCAAGCCCCGCGACGACCCGCUGCCGGUGCAGACGUCCUCCUCCUGACUCGGUGGGUGCUCACCUGCUCCAGUGCUGCAAGUCACUCAGGACACAAGACUGAGCCAAGGAGAUGAAACCUGCCCCACGCAACGUGCAGGGCAAGAGGCUGACCCAGAGGUGAGCAGCGAACGGCAAACAUCAGCAAGCGGGGAGCACGGCACGUGCGGGGCGGCCACACACCAAACGCCAUCUGAUGCCUGGCGCCCUUCUCCACUCUCGGGACACGAACAUGCAUGGCUCACUCUUAGCCCCUCGGGAGCUCCAGCUAGUUGUGUACACAGCUAUCAGCCAUUGACCUCGCACCAUCUACAGCCAACAGCUCAGCCUCUGAUCCAGGCAUGGGUCAGUGCACCAGCCCCCGACCCAGGGCCAGCACCAUGGACAGCUCUUCCCCCCAGAGCCCCGGGUUCUGUAUUCCAGAGCCCUGCAGUGACUUCCGUCCCCUUCCCCGGAAGUCCUGACCACGGAGACAGGCCACAGGUCCUGCAGCUGCCACGUGUGGUGGCUUUGUUUCAUCGUGAUCUGUCCUGCCUGUGUAUGACACGGGUAGUGUGGACUGUGCCACUUCAGUAAACCCAGAGAAACAGCCUCCAAAGGAGGCCUGUCAAUUCACACGCCCACCGGCAGUGCACAGAGCAGGUGCACGGAAAACACGUUAAGCUGAGCAAACAAA